This 424-nucleotide ribosomal RNA is filed under the name uncultured prokaryote. RNAcentral describes it as "bacterial SSU rRNA". It matches the Rfam family "Bacterial small subunit ribosomal RNA", at positions 355 to 796 of the family's 1533-position model. The record is from RNAcentral.
UGGGGAAUCUUGCACAAUGGGGGAAACCCUGAUCCAGCCAUGCCGCGUGUGUGAUGAAGGCCCUAGGGUCGUAAAGAACUUUCGCCAGGGAAGAUAAUGACGGUACCUGGUAAAGAAACCCCGGCUAACUCCGUGCCAGCAGCCGCGGUAAUACGGAGGGGGUUAGCGUUGUUCGGAAUUACUGGGCGUAAAGCGCGCGUAGGCGGACUAGUCAGUCAGAGGUGAAAUCCGGGGGCUCAACCCCGGAACUGCCUUUGAUACUGCUAGUCUUGAGUUCGAGAGAGGGGAGUGGAAUUCCGAGUGUAGAGGUGAAAUUCGUAGAUAUUCGGAGGAACACCAGUGGCGAAGGCGGCUCACUGGCUCGAUACUGACGCUGAGGUGCGAAAGCGUGGGGAGCAAACAGGAUUAGAUACCCCCGUAGUCC